This 253-nucleotide unclassified non-coding RNA is filed under the name Hevea brasiliensis (rubber tree). Lineage: Eukaryota; Viridiplantae; Streptophyta; Magnoliopsida; Malpighiales; Euphorbiaceae. The record is from RNAcentral.
AAGAAGAAGAAGAAGAAGAAUGGGUAAAUAAAUAGAAACCCAGAAAAGAUAGAAUCUGGAAACAGAAAGAAAGGUGAAAGUUGGUCUUUGGUAGUAAGAGCAGUUGGUGUGGUGGUCAAGACAGGUCCGCUUGGAAGACGACGAUGUGAUUUUUCUUCUUUCACUCUUGUCCACUGCGCCACUUGAGCAUUUGCUUCACUCCGUCCUACUUACAACCUACCUUACCCCUCUUUCUCGUUUUCACACAAUGACA